RNAcentral lists this ribosomal RNA (110 nucleotides) under Labrus bergylta (ballan wrasse). The record is from RNAcentral. Lineage: Eukaryota; Metazoa; Chordata; Actinopteri; Labriformes; Labridae.
AAUGACAUACCACCCUGGCCCGCUCUCUUCCGAUCUUGGACGCUAAGCGGGGUGGGGCCUGGUUAGUACUUGGAUGGGAUACCGCCUGGGAAUACCAGGUGCUGUAACUU